UGAGGUCAACAGGAAUCGAACCUGUAUCUAGAAGCUUUGGAGGCUUUCGCAAUGCCAUUAUACCAUGACCCC
Molecule: transfer RNA, 72 nt
Filed under: Klosneuvirus KNV1
Lineage: Varidnaviria; Bamfordvirae; Nucleocytoviricota; Megaviricetes; Imitervirales; Mimiviridae
Description: tRNA-Trp
Source: RNAcentral